RNAcentral lists this ribosomal RNA (656 nucleotides) under Pediastrum duplex. Its description in RNAcentral is "eukaryotic LSU rRNA". The stretch from base 236 to 389 matches the Rfam family "5.8S ribosomal RNA". Lineage: Eukaryota; Viridiplantae; Chlorophyta; Chlorophyceae; Sphaeropleales; Hydrodictyaceae. The record is from RNAcentral.
AACCACAAUGCGAACCCUUUAUUCCGUAUGCCAAUCGAGCCAGCUGUUGUGCUUCGGCGCUGCAGCAGCCAGGUCCGAACCCGCUUUCGGGCGGGGGAGGGCAACCCCUGGUGGCUCGGCUUGGUGUAUGCCCCACUCCGCUGUCCAUCGACCCAGCUUCGGCUGAACGGAUGGGUAGCUAAAACCAAAAUCUGAAGUCAUUGGGCGCUGCUCUGUCGGCCCCACUAACAAAGACAACUCUCAACAACGGAUAUCUUGGCUCUCGCAACGAUGAAGAACGCAGCGAAAUGCGAUACGUAGUGUGAAUUGCAGAAUUCCGUGAACCAUCGAAUCUUUGAACGCAUAUUGCGCUCGAUCCUUCGGGAAAGAGCAUGUCUGCCUCAGCGUCGUUUUGACACCUCACUCCCAUAUCUGCUUUGCAGGUAUCACGCAUCGGGUUGCGACCCGACUGCUGGGCGUGGAUCUGGCUUCCCCGGUGCUUGCAUCGGGCUGGCUGAAGUGUAGAGGCUAGAGCACGGACCCGUAUGGGCGUCAACUGGAUAGGUAGCACCCACGCAAGUGGACCUACACGAAGUUGUCUGCCUGGGACACGUGUUGGCGGCCAAACAGGAAACUCCUUCUCACUUCGACCUGAGCUCAGGCAAGACUACCCGCUG